Molecule: ribosomal RNA, 499 nt
Filed under: Chanos chanos (milkfish)
Lineage: Eukaryota; Metazoa; Chordata; Actinopteri; Gonorynchiformes; Chanidae
Description: partial 16S ribosomal RNA
Rfam family: Bacterial large subunit ribosomal RNA
Source: RNAcentral
UCACUUGUCUCUUAAAUAGAGACCUGUAUGAAUGGCACGACGAGGGCUUAACUGUCUCUCCUCCCCAGUCAGUGAAAUUGAUCUGUCCGUGCAGAAGCGGACAUUGUACUGCAAGACGAGAAGACCCUAUGGAGCUUUAGACACAAGACCAACCAUGUUAAACCACUUAAAACAAAACAAGUGGAAACAGAGUGGUAAACCUUGGUCCGCCUGUCUUCGGUUGGGGCGACCGCGGGGCAAAGACAAACCCCCAUGUGGAAUGGACAAACCAUUUAGAGCUAAGAGACACAUCUCUAAGCCACAGAACAUCUGACCAAAAAUGAUCCGGACACCAGACCGAUCAACGAACCAAGUUACCCUAGGGAUAACAGCGCAAUCCUCUUCCAGAGUCCAUAUCGACAAGAGGGUUUACGACCUCGAUGUUGGAUCAGGACAUCCUAAUGGUGCAGCCGCUAUUAAGGGUUCGUUUGUUCAACGAUUAAAGUCCUACGUGAUCUGA